This 1713-nucleotide unclassified non-coding RNA is filed under the name Leishmania donovani. Its description in RNAcentral is "gene:LdHU3.09.0520(CDS-product:hypothetical_prote in_conserved)". The record is from RNAcentral. Lineage: Eukaryota; Euglenozoa; Kinetoplastea; Trypanosomatida; Trypanosomatidae.
CCACAUCCACCUUGUUCUGUGGCCCUGCUCACUCGUGCUCUCCUCCGUGCGCGUGCUCGCCCCCGUGCUGCUGACGUUUUUUUUUUCUUGAUUCAGCAUGUUGACACCAUCACCGGCAACGAGGUCCAUCACCACCCACUCGCUCAUCCCGCACACACGCACACACACACGCAACUGCGCUUGUGGAUUUGGUUCUCUUGGUACGCUGCUCGCUUCUGGUGGUGCUUCUACCCGCUGUCACGGCCAUCAAAGCCCACCGCCUCCCUUCCACCACCACCCCCUUCUGCCGCCCGCAUAGAUCCCUCGCCCCCUCUUCUCCUCCACUCGUUAUUGCCCACCACUCCGGUGGCUGCGCGACCUCCAUCGAGUGUGUGCGUGUGCCCCGGAACGCACUCGCCACUGCUUUCCUCGCCGUCGAGAGGAGAACAACAUCGCGCGCGAGCACCGAGAGAGGUGAAGAGGUCGAAGCCGUUGGCAGGUGCCCUCUGUUGGCGACAUCCACAAAGAGAGAGACGCACAGAGACAUCCGUGCGGCAGCCCUGUCGGUGUAUUGUCCAAGGAGGAGAAGUGGGGCAUGCAAUCGUGGCGAGAGGGAGAGGCGUGACGCGCGGCAACGAAGCGAACCGCGGCCAAGCAUGGAGGGCAACUUCUACGUGUCCGACGUGGUGAUCGACCGCGAGCUCAAAUCGAAGUACGGCAUGGCGUACAGAAAGUGCCCCAACGAGUCGAAGCGUUACGGGCAGUGCGUUGAAGCCGGCCAGAUCAACCGCAGCCUGCAGCGCGACAGCUGCGCCGAGGAGCGCCACGCACUCCGCGCAUGCGUCGCAACGCACCUUCGCAAUAUCGCCAUCGGCAGCAGGGCCUCGUGUGCUGCCAACAGUGGUACACAGAGCCAGUGAUGCCAACGAAGCCAGGCUGCACCGUGCGCCUGCCCUCGAGCACCCACACACAAAGAACACGGAAGGUGCAUACACACGUGUGUGUGUGUGUGUAGGGGGGGGGGGGGGGGUGAGCGACAUGAAGCGUGUCUGGGCGCCGGUGCUGGCUCCUGUGGGGGUGACAGUGAGCAGUGGCCUGCACUAACAAUGGCCGUGAUCAUGUCUGGGGCGCUUGAUGCGUCUCUCUGUGUAUAGUUGUACGUGUGUGUGUGUGUGUGUGUGUACACAGUCGACUGAAGCGGGCUGGCGGCCGUGUCGUCCUGUCGACCUCCUCGCAGCAACCGAACAAGGUAUAGGGCGUCUUUGGAGGAUGGAUGCGCCCGGGUGCGCGAUGGACAAGGGGGAGGAGGACAAGAGUGAUGCUAAGGCACACUCCAGGGCUGCACGUCAGCAUCGUAGCGUCCAUUAUGAAUCGUCGGAGAGGGAAAGAGAAAGGACGUCACUGCCGCCUUCGUUGUCAGGGUGGGAAGGGAAGGGGGUGCGGCUCGGUGCGCUGUUUCUCGCGUCCGUAUCGCAUCUCCGCCCUUUUUCAUUCCUGCGGUGGUGUGGAGAUGCACGAUGGCAGGUGGUUCAUAGCCCUCGUGGGCCGUCGCCCCCCCUUCCUCCCCCCACCCGCCCUCGCUGGCCCUUGUGCUUCGUACCUUUUCCUUAUCGCUCCCUCUAUCUCUUCGGCCUAUAUCUUUAUCUCUGCGUGUUCGUGCGCGCGUGCAUGGCGGUGACGGCACGAGUGGUGCUCUGCUUCACGCCGCUGGGUCGCACACACCCGCAUGCGUAG